GUAAGUAGUUCUGCCGAAGACAA
Molecule: microRNA, 23 nt
Filed under: Blattella germanica (German cockroach)
Lineage: Eukaryota; Metazoa; Arthropoda; Insecta; Blattodea; Blattellidae
Description: Bge-Mir-252-P1_5p (mature (guide))
Source: RNAcentral